UACGGAGGGUGCAAGCGUUGUCCGGAUUUAUUGGGUUUAAAGGGUGCGUAGGCGGCCCGUUAAGUCAGUGGUGAAAGCCUCCAGCUCAACUGGAGAACUGCCAUUGAUACUGGCGGGCUUGAGUACAGACGAGGUAGGCGGAAUUGAUUGUGUAGCGGUGAAAUGCAUAGAUACAAUCAAGAACACCGAUUGCGUAGGUAGCUUACUAGGCUGUAACUGACGCUGAGGCACGAAAGCGUGGGGAGCGAACAGG
RNAcentral lists this ribosomal RNA (253 nucleotides) under uncultured bacterium. RNAcentral describes it as "partial 16S ribosomal RNA". It matches the Rfam family "Bacterial small subunit ribosomal RNA", at positions 524 to 776 of the family's 1533-position model. The record is from RNAcentral.